GUCUGGUUGAUCCUGCCGGAGGCUACCGCUAUUGGAGUUCGAUUAAGCCAUGCGAGUCGCGAGAAAUUAGAUUCUCGGCGUACCGCUCAGUAACACGUGGGUAACCUGCCCUAUGCUGGAUAAUAACCUCGGGAAACUGAGAAUAAUGAUCCAUAGUUCACUACGCCUGGAACGGUGAGUGGAUGAAAGCUCCGGCGGCAUAGGAUGGGCCUGCGGCGUAUCAGGUUGUAGGGGGUGUAACGUACCCUCUAGCCCUCUACGCGUACGGGUGUUGGGAGACAUAGCCCGGAGAUGGAUUCUGAGACACGAAUCCAAACCCUACGGGGUGCAGCAGGCGCGAAAACUUGGCAAUGCGAGAAAUCGUGACCAGGGAACUCCAAGUGCAUCGGGUAAGACCGGUGCUUUUCUUGACUCUAAAUAGGUCUUGGAAUAAGGGGUGGGUAAGGACGGUGCCAACCGCCGCGGUAAUACCGGCGCCUCAAGUGGUAGUCGCUUUUAUUGGGCCUAAAACGUCCGUAGCCGGUCUGAUACAUUCGUGGGUAAAUCAACCAGCUUAACUGGUUGAAUUCUGCGAGGACGGUCAGACUUGGGACCGGGAGAGGUGUGGGGUACGCUCAGGGUAGGGGUAAAAUCCUGUCAUCCUGAGCGGACCACCUGUUGCGAAGGCGCCACACUAGAACGGAUCCGACGGUCAGGGACGAAGCCUAGGGGCACGAACCGGAUUAGAUACCCGGGUAGUCCUAGGUGUAAACGCUGUGGACUUGAUGUUGGGGGUGCUCCGAGCACUCUCAGUGUCGAAGCGAAGGUGAUAAGUCCACUGCCUGGGAAGUACGGUCGCAAGGCUGAAACUUAAAGGAAUUGGCGGGGGAGCACCGCAACCUGAGGAUUGUGCGGUUUAAUUGGACUCAACGCCGGGA
RNAcentral lists this ribosomal RNA (917 nucleotides) under uncultured Candidatus Poseidoniales archaeon. RNAcentral's name for it is "bacterial SSU rRNA". It matches the Rfam family "Archaeal small subunit ribosomal RNA", at positions 1 to 923 of the family's 1478-position model. Lineage: Archaea; Methanobacteriati; Thermoplasmatota; Candidatus Poseidoniia; Candidatus Poseidoniales. The record is from RNAcentral.